CUUUACUAUACGCUGGCAUUGUAUUAUUGGUCUGAAUGUGCAGGAUAGGUGGGAGACUUUGAAGCGGGAGCGUUAGCUCCCGUGGAGUCAACGGUGAGAUACCACCCUUUUAUUCUGAUAAUACUCACUCCGUGUGUGAAACGCACCGGAGGACAGUGCUUGCCGGGUAGUUUAACUGGGGCGGUUGCCUCCUAAAAUGUAACGGAGGCGUGCAAUGGUCAACUAGCGCCGGAUGGAAAUCGGCGCGGUCGUAUAAUCGCACAAGUUGGCGUGACUGUGAGACCUACAAGUCGAGCAGUGACGAAAGUCGGUGAUAGUGAUCCGGUAGCCGGGCAGUUUAAUCAUUGCCCAAACCACGUGGGUGGGC
RNAcentral lists this ribosomal RNA (367 nucleotides) under uncultured organism. Its description in RNAcentral is "bacterial LSU rRNA". It matches the Rfam family "Bacterial large subunit ribosomal RNA", at positions 2099 to 2442 of the family's 2925-position model. The record is from RNAcentral.